GAGAAGCUUGCUUCUCUGAUGUUAGCGGCGGACGGGUGAGUAACACGUGGAUAACCUACCUAUAAGACUGGGAUAACUUCGGGAAACCGGAGCUAAUACCGGAUAAUAUUUUGAACCGCAUGGUUCAAAAGUGAAAGACGGUCUUGCUGUCACUUAUAGAUGGAUCCGCGCUGCAUUAGCUAGUUGGUAAGGUAACGGCUUACCAAGGCAACGAUGCAUAGCCGACCUGAGAGGGUGAUCGGCCACACUGGAACUGAGACACGGUCCAGACUCCUACGGGAGGCAGCAGUAGGGAAUCUUCCGCAAUGGGCGAAAGCCUGACGGAGCAACGCCGCGUGAGUGAUGAAGGUCUUCGGAUCGUAAAACUCUGUUAUUAGGGAAGAACAUAUGUGUAAGUAACUGUGCACAUCUUGACGGUACCUAAUCAGAAAGCCAGGGCUAACUACGUGCCAGCAGCCGCGGUAAUACGUAGGUGGCAAGCGUUAUCCGGAAUUAUUGGGCGUAAAGCGCGCGUAGGCGGUUUUUUAAGUCUGAUGUGAAAGCCCACGGCUCAACCGUGGAGGGUCAUUGGAAACUGGAAAACUGGAGUGCAGAAGAGGAAAGUGGAAUUCCAUGUGUAGCGGUGAAAUGCGCAGAGAUAUGGAGGAACACCAGUGGCGAAGGCGACUUUCUGGUCUGUAACUGACGCUGAUGUGCGAAAGCGUGGGGAUCAAACAGGAUUAGAUACCCUGGUAGUCCACGCCGUAAACGAUGAGUGCUAAGUGUUAGGGGGUUUCCGCCCCUUAGUGCUGCAGCUAACGCAUUAAGCACUCCGCCUGGGGAGUACGACCGCAAGGUUG
This 839-nucleotide ribosomal RNA is filed under the name uncultured Staphylococcus sp. Its description in RNAcentral is "bacterial SSU rRNA". It matches the Rfam family "Bacterial small subunit ribosomal RNA", at positions 73 to 896 of the family's 1533-position model. The record is from RNAcentral. Lineage: Bacteria; Bacillati; Bacillota; Bacilli; Caryophanales; Staphylococcaceae.